CCUACGGGAGGCAGCAGUAGGGAAUCUUUCACAAUGGGCGAAAGCCUGAUGGAGCAACGCCGCGUGCAGGAUGAAGGCCUUCGGGUUGUAAACUGCUUUUAUAAGCGAGAAAUAUGAUGGUAACUUAUGAAUAAGGAUCGGCUAACUACGUGCCAGCAGCCGCGGUCAUACGUAGGAUCCGAGCAUUAUCCGGAGUGACUGGGUGUAAAGAGUUGCGUAGGUGGCAUAAUAAGUAGCUAGUGAAAUCUGGUGGCUCAACCAUUCAGACUAUUAGCUAAACUGUUAAGCUCGAGACCGUUAGGGGUAACUGGAAUUUCUAGUGUAGGAGUGAAAUCCGUAGAUAUUAGAAGGAACACCAAUAGCGUAGGCAGGUUGCUGGGAUGGUUCUGACACUAAGGCACGAAAGCGUAGGGAGCAAACGGGAUUAGAUACCCGUGUAGUC
RNAcentral lists this ribosomal RNA (442 nucleotides) under uncultured bacterium. RNAcentral's name for it is "partial 16S ribosomal RNA". It matches the Rfam family "Bacterial small subunit ribosomal RNA", at positions 338 to 795 of the family's 1533-position model. The record is from RNAcentral.